RNAcentral lists this ribosomal RNA (468 nucleotides) under uncultured bacterium. RNAcentral describes it as "partial 16S ribosomal RNA". It matches the Rfam family "Bacterial small subunit ribosomal RNA", at positions 28 to 507 of the family's 1533-position model. The record is from RNAcentral.
GACGAACGCUGGCGGCGUGCUUAACACAUGCAAGUCGAACGGAAAGGCCCUGCUUUUGUGGGGUGCUCGAGUGGCGAACGGGUGAGUAACACGUGAGUAACCUGCCCUUGACUUUGGGAUAACUUCAGGAAACUGGGGCUAAAACCGGAUAGGAGCUCCUGCUGCAUGGUGGGGGUUGGAAAGUUUCGGCGGUUGGGGAUGGAAUAGCGGCUUAUCCGCUUGUUGGUGGGGUAGUGGCUUACCAAGGCUUUGACGGGUAGCCGGCCUUGGAGGGUGACCGGCGACAUUGGGACUGAGAGAGGGCGCAGACUCCUACGGGAGGCAGCAGUGGGGAAUAUUGCACAAUGGGCGGAAGCCUGAGGCAGCAACGCCGCGUGCGUGAUGACGGCCUUCGGGUGGUAAACCACUUUCGCCGGUGACGAAGCGUGAGUGACGGUAAUUGGUAAAGAAGCACCGGCUAACUACGUG